Molecule: ribosomal RNA, 450 nt
Filed under: uncultured bacterium
Lineage: Bacteria
Description: bacterial SSU rRNA
Rfam family: Bacterial small subunit ribosomal RNA
Source: RNAcentral
GUGGGGAAUAUUGGACAAUGGGCGCAAGCCUGAUCCAGCAAUGCCGCGUGGGUGAAGACGGCCUGCGGGUUGUAAAGCCCUUUAGGCGGGGAGGAACGGCGUCGUGCGAACAGUGCGGCGUUCUGACGUUACCCGCGGAAUAAGCACCGGCUAACUCCGUGCCAGCAGCCGCGGUAAUACGGAGGGUGCGAGCGUUAAUCGGAAUUACUGGGCGUAAAGCGUGUGUAGGCGGUAAAGUUAGUCAGCCGUGAAAGCCCUGGGCUUAACCUGGGAACGGCGGUUGAGACGGCUUAACUCGAGUGGGCUAGAGGAUCGUGGAAUUCCGGGUGUAGCGGUGAAAUGCGUAGAGAUCCGGAGGAACACCGAUGGCGAAGGCAGCGGUCUGGGGCCACACUGACGCUGAGACACGAAAGCGUGGGGAGCAAACAGGAUUAGAUACCCGUGUAGUCC